AGAGAUGGGUUUCUGGACUCGCGAAGCAGCUGCAACAAGGCAUCACUCACUGUAUAAGUAUUUCCAUUUCUGAGAGCAAAAGGAAGAACUUAAGCGGGCGGCACUUGGAGUGUAAAUUGCUUUGUAGUAUUUAAAGGCAGAAUGGAUCCUGGGCAGCCGAGCUGCAACAAACCGGCAGGACUUCCUGUGAAAUCAUGACCACCAUGUGCUCUUUCAGCCUCUAUCAGUUCCUACCUCUAAGCACCUGAGAGCCAAAGCAAACCACAGGAAACCACAGGUACUAACUCUUUUAGACCUGAUGAAGUGUCUCCCAAAUACAGUCUGGCAUGACUCAAACUAAACGUCAGCUUUUCCCGGCUCUCAAGCCUGCUGGUCCCUGAACUAAAACUCACAUUAUCAACUCUACUGGUUCUUAGGCCUUUGGAGUCAGACUGGAACUACAGCAUUGACUCUUCCGGAACUCCAGCUUACUGACUACAGAUCUUGGAACUUUUCAGCUUCCACAACCAUAAUGAAAGCCAAGCAUAUUCCAUCAUUUCCUAAAACCAAGAUAGAGCACAUAUGGGAACUUGUGAAAUAAGGAUGCCCUGCGGUUGUUUUCAGGACUGAAGACAACAGCUCCACGAUGUAUCUUUGCAUAAGAAUACACUUGAAACCAAAGCACAAAGAGAGAAAGAAAAGAAAGAGAAAAAAGGAAGAAAGAAAAGAAAGAUGAAAGAAAGAAAGAGAAAGAAGAGAGAGGGAGAGAGAGAAAGAAAGAGAAGGAAAGAAAGAAGGAAGAAGAAAGAAAGAAAGAAAGAAAGAAAGAAAGAAAGAAAGAAAGAAAGAAAGAAAGAAAGAAAGAAAGAAAGAAAAAAGGAAGGAAGGAAAAGAAACACAUGGAAAGUGCUUCUUUGGACCUUUUAAGUUGCAUUAUCCCAUAAAAUGUGGUGGAUUCAAUGUUGUAUGGCCUGUAAAACUAAGUAAUGAAGGCUGAUAUGUACCCACCUGGCUCUGUCUUGGGAUCACACAACUUGGGAGCCAAAACAGGUGAGGAUGGGGAGGUGUCAAACAAGACCUAACCUCUCAACAAUCAGCUGGACACUGUUGUGUAAGAAUGUGAAGCUUGGCACUGCUGCAGCCAUCUUGUUCCAGGAAGGGUAAAACCUGAGGUUAGAAGCCAACAUCCUAAUGAUGGCAGAGAAGACAAAGAGAACCAGAGUCUAAAUGACAUUGUUGAGUUAGAUCACUACACUACCUCUAGUCUUCUUUUUAUGUGUGAUAAUAAAUCUCACUUAUACUUAAGCCAUUUGAAGUUGAGUCUAAUGUUCAUUUCAGACCAAAGCAGCUUAACUGACAUGUUCUCCGCUUUGUUACCCUAUCCAGUUGUUUUCAUGCAGGAAAUAAAUCUCAAAUUACCUCAUUUA
Molecule: long non-coding RNA, 1406 nt
Filed under: Homo sapiens (human)
Lineage: Eukaryota; Metazoa; Chordata; Mammalia; Primates; Hominidae
Description: long intergenic non-protein coding RNA 1322
Source: RNAcentral